RNAcentral lists this ribosomal RNA (509 nucleotides) under Semirossia tenera. RNAcentral's name for it is "partial 16S ribosomal RNA". It matches the Rfam family "Bacterial large subunit ribosomal RNA", at positions 1817 to 2600 of the family's 2925-position model. Lineage: Eukaryota; Metazoa; Mollusca; Cephalopoda; Sepiida; Sepiolidae. The record is from RNAcentral.
CUCUCUUUGUUAUUUAUAUAUAAAGAGUUGGGCCUGCUCGGUGAUGAUUAUUUUAACAGCUGCGGUAUUUUAACUGUACUAAGGUAGCAUAAUAGUUUGCCUUAUAAUUUGAGGCUAGAAUGAAUGGUUUGACGAAGGUUAAUCUGUCUCUAUUUUAUUUAAUAGAAAUUAACUUUUAGAGUGAGAAGGCUUAAAUUUUUUAAAGGGACGAGAAGACCCUACUGAGCUUGUAAUUUUAUUUUAUUAUUUUUAGGUAGUAGGGUAUAAAUUUUAAUUGGGGUGAUUAAGGAAUAAAGUGUAUUAGGGUAACUUCCUUAAGUGAUAGUAUAUGUGUAUUAAGUAACCAAUAAAUUAUAUUGCUUAUAUUAUAGUUACCAUAGGGAUAACAGCGUAAUUUGCUUAAAGAGUUCUUAUUGAAAAGUGAGAUUGCGACCUCGAUGUUGGAUUAAAGUAACCUUAAGGUGUAGAAGCUUUAUUAGGUAAAUCUGUUCGAUUUUUAAAACUUUACA